Molecule: ribosomal RNA, 496 nt
Filed under: uncultured bacterium
Lineage: Bacteria
Description: partial 16S ribosomal RNA
Rfam family: Bacterial small subunit ribosomal RNA
Source: RNAcentral
GACGAACGCUGGCGGCGUGCCUAAUACAUGCAAGUUGAGCGCUGAAGGUUGGUACUUGUACCGACCGGAUGAGCAGCGAACGGGUGAGUAACGCGUGGGGAAUCUGCCUUUGAGCGGGGGACAACAUUUGGAAACGAAUGCUAAUACCGCAUAAAAACUUUAAACACAAGUUUUAAGUUUGAAAGAUGCAAUUGCAUCACUCAAAGAUGAUCCCGCGUUGUAUUAGCUAGUUGGUGAGGUAAAGGCUCACCAAGGCGAUGAUACAUAGCCGACCUGAGAGGGUGAUCGGCCACAUUGGGACUGAGACACGGCCCAAACUCCUACGGGAGGCAGCAGUAGGGAAUCUUCGGCAAUGGACGAAAGUCUGACCGAGCAACGCCGCGUGAGUGAAGAAGGUUUUCGGAUCGUAAAACUCUGUUGGUAGAGAAGAACGUUGGUGAGAGUGGAAAGCUCAUCAAGUGACGGUACUACCCAGAAAGGGACGGCUAACUACGUG